Molecule: ribosomal RNA, 253 nt
Filed under: Segatella copri DSM 18205
Lineage: Bacteria; Pseudomonadati; Bacteroidota; Bacteroidia; Bacteroidales; Prevotellaceae
Also listed under: 2 other names
Description: Prevotella copri DSM 18205 partial 16S ribosomal RNA
Rfam family: Bacterial small subunit ribosomal RNA
Source: RNAcentral
UACGGAAGGUCCGGGCGUUAUCCGGAUUUAUUGGGUUUAAAGGGAGCGCAGGCCGUCCUUUAAGCGUGCUGUGAAAUGCCGCGGCUCAACCGUGGCACUGCAGCGCGAACUGGAGGACUUGAGUACGCACGAGGUAGGCGGAAUUCGUGGUGUAGCGGUGAAAUGCUUAGAUAUCACGAAGAACUCCGAUUGCGAAGGCAGCUUACCGGAGCGCAACUGACGCUGAGGCUCGAAAGCGCGGGUAUCGAACAGG